RNAcentral lists this ribosomal RNA (468 nucleotides) under uncultured bacterium. RNAcentral's name for it is "partial 16S ribosomal RNA". It matches the Rfam family "Bacterial small subunit ribosomal RNA", at positions 28 to 507 of the family's 1533-position model. The record is from RNAcentral.
GACGAACGCUGGCGGCGUGCUUAACACAUGCAAGUCGAACGGAAAGGCCCUGCUUUUGUGGGGUGCUCGAGUGGCGAACGGGUGAGUAACACGUGAGUAACCUGCCCUUGACUUUGGGAUAACUUCAGGAAACUGGGGCUAAUACCGGAUAGGAGCUCCUGCUGCAUGGUGGGGGUUGGAAAGUUUCGGCGGUUGGGGAUGGACUCGCGGCUUAUCAGCUUGUUGGUGGGGUAGUGGCUUACCAAGGCUUUGACGGGUAGCCGGCCUGAGAGGGUGACCGGCCACAUUGGGACUGAGGUACGGCCCAGACUCCUACGGUAGGCAGCAGUGGGGAAUAUUGCACAAUGGGCGGAAGCCUGAUGCAGCAACGCCGCGUUCGGGAUGACGGCCUUCGGGUUGUAAACCGCUUUCGCCUGUGACGAAGCGUGAGUGACGGUAAUGGGUAAAGAAGCACCGGCUAACUACGUG